This 371-nucleotide ribosomal RNA is filed under the name uncultured bacterium. RNAcentral describes it as "bacterial SSU rRNA". It matches the Rfam family "Bacterial small subunit ribosomal RNA", at positions 527 to 896 of the family's 1533-position model. The record is from RNAcentral.
GUAGGGUGCGAGCGUUAAUCGGAAUUACUGGGCGUAAAGCGUGCGCAGGCGGUUCGUUAAGUUCGUUGUGAAAGCCCCGGGCUCAACCUGGGAACUGCAAUGGAAACUGGCGGGCUUGAGUAUGGCAGAGGGGGGUGGAAUUCCGCGUGUAGCAGUGAAAUGCGUAGAGAUGUGGAGGAACACCAAUGGCGAAGGCAGCCCCCUGGGUCGAUACUGACGCUCAUGCACGAAAGCGUGGGUAGCAAACAGGAUUAGAUACCCUGGUAGUCCACGCCCUAAACGAUGUCAACUAGGUGUUGGGUGGGUAAAACCAUUUAGUACCGGAGCUAACGCGUGAAGUUGACCGCCUGGGGAGUACGGCCGCAAGGUUA